GGCUCAGGCCUCGCCAGGAAGGCACGACAUUGCUCACAUUGCUUCCAUAUUUUUAGCCAGCUCGGGUGCUGGCUUUUUUUU
RNAcentral lists this non-coding RNA (81 nucleotides) under Edwardsiella tarda ATCC 23685. The record is from RNAcentral. Lineage: Bacteria; Pseudomonadati; Pseudomonadota; Gammaproteobacteria; Enterobacterales; Hafniaceae.